This 253-nucleotide ribosomal RNA is filed under the name uncultured bacterium. Its description in RNAcentral is "partial 16S ribosomal RNA". It matches the Rfam family "Bacterial small subunit ribosomal RNA", at positions 524 to 776 of the family's 1533-position model. The record is from RNAcentral.
GACAGAGGGGGCAAGCGUUGCUCGGAAUGACUGGGCGUAAAGGGCGCGUAGGCGGCUCGUGAAGUCGGGUGUGAAAGCCCGGGGCUCAACCCCGGAACGGCAUCCGAUACUGGCGGGCUUGAGACCGGGAGAGGAGGGUGGAAUACCCAGUGUAGAGGUGAAAUUCGUAGAUAUUGGGUGGAACACCGGUGGCGAAAGCGGCUCUCUGGCCCGGAUCUGACGCUGAGGCGCGAAAGCGUGGGGAGCAAACAGG